CGGACGGGUGAGUAACGCGUGGGUAACCUGCCUCAUACAGGGGGAUAACAGUUAGAAAUGACUGCUAAUACCGCAUAAGCGCACGAAGCUGCAUGGCUUUGUGUGAAAAACUCCGGUGGUAUGAGAUGGACCCGCGUCUGAUUAGCUAGUUGGUGAGGUAACGGCCCACCAAGGCGACGAUCAGUAGCCGACCUGAGAGGGUGACCGGCCACAUUGGGACUGAGACACGGCCCAAACUCCUACGGGAGGCAGCAUG
Molecule: ribosomal RNA, 256 nt
Filed under: uncultured bacterium
Lineage: Bacteria
Description: partial 16S ribosomal RNA
Rfam family: Bacterial small subunit ribosomal RNA
Source: RNAcentral